CGCCCGUGCAUCAAGCCAAAAUAAUUGAUGUCGAUUGGCAGACGCCACGUAUGCCACCAAGAAAACCAUGCUCUCGUCAUUCAGAUUUUGUUCAUUUAGAUCCUUCAAGCUGAAAUCUUUUGCUUAGCGGCUCUGAUUAUAUUGAGUAACAGAACCACGUUCUUCUCACUAUUUAUCCAUGUGAUUAGGACAGCCAAAGAAGUGAGCCAUUACCGUGCAACUCUUGCUUGACUCGAAGCUUAGCUACUACAUAAGCGCUCGCCAUUGAUAUA
Molecule: long non-coding RNA, 272 nt
Filed under: Elaeis guineensis (African oil palm)
Lineage: Eukaryota; Viridiplantae; Streptophyta; Magnoliopsida; Arecales; Arecaceae
Description: long non-coding RNA (EGUI_LNC011518)
Source: RNAcentral